This 63-nucleotide microRNA precursor is filed under the name Eisenia fetida (common brandling worm). Its description in RNAcentral is "Efe-Mir-10-P5b_pre stem-loop". The record is from RNAcentral. Lineage: Eukaryota; Metazoa; Annelida; Clitellata; Crassiclitellata; Lumbricidae.
UUACCCUGAAGAACCGGACAAGUGUAUUGCGUCAAUAAGCACGGGCCUUUCUUCAGAGUCAAC